RNAcentral lists this ribosomal RNA (534 nucleotides) under uncultured soil bacterium. RNAcentral's name for it is "bacterial SSU rRNA". It matches the Rfam family "Bacterial small subunit ribosomal RNA", at positions 26 to 529 of the family's 1533-position model. The record is from RNAcentral.
AGAUUGAACGCUGGCGGCAGGCCUAACACAUACAAGUCGAGCGGUAGAGAGGUGCUUGCACCUCUUGAGAGCGGCGGACGGGUGAGUAAUGCCUAGGAAUCUGCCUAGUGGUGGGGGAUAACGUUCGGAAACGGACGCUAAUACCGCAUACGUCCUACGGGAGAAAGCGGGGACCUUCGGGCCUCGCGCCAUUAGAUGAGCCUAGGUCGAUUAGCUAGUGGUGAGGUAAUGGCUCACCAAGGCGACGAUCCGUAACUGGUCUGAGAGGAUGAUCAGUCACACUGGAACUGAGACACGGUCCAGACUCCUACGGGAGCAGCAGUGGGAAUAUUGGACAAUGGGCAAAGCCUGAUCCGGCCAUGCCGCGUGUGUGAAGAAGGUCUUCGGAUUGGUAAAAGCUAACGUUUAAGUUGGGAAGGUAAAGGGUUUAGUAAACGUUUAAGUACCGUUUAGACUAAACUUUGAACGUUUACCGAACUAGAAAUAAGCAACCGGACUAACUUCGUAGUCCAGCCAAGCCGACGGUAACUCGUA